GAUGAACGCUGGCGGCGUGCCUAAUACAUGCAAGUCGAGCGAACGGACGAGAAGCUUGCUUCUCUGAUGUUAGCGGCGGACGGGUGAGUAACACGUGGAUAACCUACCUAUAAGACUGGGAUAACUUCGGGAAACCGGAGCUAAUACCGGAUGAUAUUUUGAACCGCAUGGUUCAAAAGUGAAAGACGGUCUUGCUGUCACUUAUAGAUGGAUCCGCGCUGCAUUAGCUAGUUGGUAAGGUAACGGCUUACCAAGGCAACGAUGCAUAGCCGACCUGAGAGGGUGAUCGGCCACACUGGAACUGAGACACGGUCCAGGCUCCUACGGGAGGCAGCAGUAGGGAAUCUUCCGCAAUGGGCGAAAGCCUGACGGAGCAACGCCGCGUGAGUGAUGAAGGUCUUCGGAUCGUAAAACUCUGUUAUUAGGGAAGAACAUAUGUGUAAGUAACUGUGCACAUCUUGACGGUACCUAAUCAGAAAGCCACGGCUAACUACGUG
Molecule: ribosomal RNA, 497 nt
Filed under: uncultured bacterium
Lineage: Bacteria
Description: partial 16S ribosomal RNA
Rfam family: Bacterial small subunit ribosomal RNA
Source: RNAcentral